UCCUGGUUUCCCAGGCAGUCCCAUCAGAGUGCUUCCUUUCGGAUUAGCAACUGACGGCAAGGGUUGCGCUCGUUAAAGGACUUAACCCAACAUCUCACGACACGAGCUGACGACAGCCAUGCAGCACCUGUGUAACCGUUUGUGUUUCCACAAAACCCAGUGUUUCUACCGGUAGCAGUUACAUGUCAAGCCUAGGUAAGGUUCCUCGCGUAGUGUCGAAUUAAACCACAUGUUCCACCGCUUGUGCGGACCCCCGUCAAUUUCUUUGAGUUUUAGUCUUGCGACCGUACUACUCAGGCGGAUCACUUAACGCGUUAGCUUCGACACCGAUCUUGCCAAGCAAGACCAACAUCCAGUGAUCAUCGUUUACAGCGUGGACUAC
This 382-nucleotide unclassified non-coding RNA is filed under the name uncultured bacterium. RNAcentral's name for it is "contains 16S-23S intergenic spacer region". The record is from RNAcentral.